UUUUCACCCUUAAGGAUGUACACCUCUGAGGAGUCAAAAAUUUCUAGAAUUAAACUUUUUUUCUUAACCUGAUUUUUGGGUUUAUAAGACUGUAACAAAAUAAUUGGUGAAGAAAAAAUCAUAUGGUGGUGCACUUCUUUUUUUGCUACGGCCCUUUGAAAAUGCCCAAUUUUGAUGAUUUUCCCAUUUUUCAUCGAUUUUUACCUAUUUUUGGGCUAUUAUCAUGAAAAAAAUCACAGUUCCACAAUUAAACUUUUUCUCAUAUUUUCUAUAAAGAUGAAGUGGACCAAUCUGAAUAAAUUUUACUUACAAAAACUAUAGGUAGGUGUUAAUAUAAGAAAGUUUUAUCAUAUUUUGACGCUUUUUUGUGUAAAAUUUACCAUGCUGUCAAUUUUGUAUUUUUGUGAAUUUUCUCAGUUUUAAGAACAAAAUGCAUAUUAUUUCAACUUUUUUGUUAUGAAUGAAUGAAAAAAGACAUAUCUAAGAAAUUUGAAAAGACCAAAAUGAUAUGGGAUGUACAUGAUUCUUGUAAAAUCAUUUUUUGUAUCCCUCACUCAUUUUCUCAAAAUUUUGGCUAAAAAUACUGACUUGAUUGGUCGUAAAAUUUGAAAACUGGAUUACACAAAAACCAUUCAUUGUAAAUACACAAUUUUUUCACAGAUUUAUGUUUGCUUAUAAUAUUUUUAAAGUCCAUUGAUAUUUUCCACUUCUAUCACAUGUUUUGGAAAUAAUUCAAGAACGAGAUUUUAACGAGACUGAACGAGACUGAAAAGUCAGAAGAAUACA
RNAcentral lists this long non-coding RNA (786 nucleotides) under Mytilus galloprovincialis (Mediterranean mussel). The record is from RNAcentral. Lineage: Eukaryota; Metazoa; Mollusca; Bivalvia; Mytilida; Mytilidae.